This 76-nucleotide transfer RNA is filed under the name Escherichia coli. Its description in RNAcentral is "tRNA-Phe". It matches the Rfam family "tRNA". From Rfam's summary of the family: Transfer RNA (tRNA) molecules are approximately 80 nucleotides in length. Their secondary structure includes four short double-helical elements and three loops (D, anti-codon, and T loops). Lineage: Bacteria; Pseudomonadati; Pseudomonadota; Gammaproteobacteria; Enterobacterales; Enterobacteriaceae. RNAcentral also lists the same sequence under 1 other name. The record is from RNAcentral.
GCCCGGAUAGCUCAGUCGGUAGAGCAGGGGAUUGAAAAUCCCCGUGUCCUUGGUGCGAUUCCGAGUCCGGGCACCA